This 364-nucleotide ribosomal RNA is filed under the name uncultured Glomeromycotina. RNAcentral describes it as "SSU rRNA". It matches the Rfam family "Eukaryotic small subunit ribosomal RNA", at positions 569 to 939 of the family's 1831-position model. The record is from RNAcentral. Lineage: Eukaryota; Fungi; Glomeromycota.
AGCAGCCGCGGUAAUCCCAGCUCCAAUAGCGUAUAUUAAAGUUGUUGCAGUUAAAAAGCUCGUAGUUGAAUUUCGGGAUCAAUGGGUUGGUCAUGCCCUCGGUAUGUACUGAUCUCAUUGGUUCUCACCUUCUAAGGAACCAUGAUGUCAUUCGUUUGAUGUUGUGGGGAAUUAGGACUGUUACCUUGAAAAAUUAGAGUGUUUAAAGCAGGCUAACGCUUGAAUACAUUAGCAUGGAAUAAUGAAAUAGGACAUCCGAUUCUAUUUUGUUGGUUUCUAGGAUCGAUGUAAUGAUUAAUAGGGAUAGUUGGGGCAUUAGUAUUCAAUUGUCAGAGGUGAAAUUCUUGGAUUUAUUGAAGACUAA